This 435-nucleotide ribosomal RNA is filed under the name uncultured bacterium. Its description in RNAcentral is "partial 16S ribosomal RNA". It matches the Rfam family "Bacterial small subunit ribosomal RNA", at positions 28 to 507 of the family's 1533-position model. The record is from RNAcentral.
GAUGAACGCUGGCGGUAUGCUUAACACAUGCAAGUCGAACGGACUCUUCGGAGUUAGUGGCGGACGGGUGAGUAACGCGUGAGAAUCUGGCUUUGGGUUCGGGACAACCACUGGAAACGGUGGCUAAUACCGGAUGUGCCGAGAGGUAAAAGAGAAAUUGCCUGAAGAUGAGCUCGCGUCUGAUUAGCUAGUUGGUGAGGUAAAGGCUCACCAAGGCAGCGAUCAGUAGCUGGUCUGAGAGGAUGACCAGCCACUCUGGGACUGAGACACGGCCCAGACUCCUACGGGAGGCAGCAGUGGGGAAUUUUCCGCAAUGGGCGAAAGCCUGACGGAGCAAUACCGCGUGAGGGAAGAAGGCUCUUGGGUUGUAAACCUCUUUUCUUAGGGAAGAACAAAAUGACGGUACCUAAGGAAUCAGCAUCGGCUAACUCCGUG